This 387-nucleotide ribosomal RNA is filed under the name uncultured bacterium. RNAcentral describes it as "bacterial SSU rRNA". It matches the Rfam family "Bacterial small subunit ribosomal RNA", at positions 30 to 416 of the family's 1533-position model. The record is from RNAcentral.
AUUGAACGCUGGCGGCAUGCCUUACACAUGCAAGUCGAACGGCAGCACGGGAGCAAUCCUGGUGGCGAGUGGCGAACGGGUGAGUAAUAUAUCGGAACGUGCCCAGUCGUGGGGAUAACGUAGCGAAAGCUACGCUAAUACCGCAUACGAUCUAUGGAUGAAAGCGGGGGAUCGCAAGACCUCGCGCGAUUGGAGCGGCCGAUAUCAGAUUAGGUAGUUGGUGAGGUAAAGGGCUCACCAAGCCGACGAUCUGUAGCUGGUCUGAGAGGACGACCAGCCACACUGGGACUGAGACACGGCCCAGACUCCUACGGGAGGCAGCAGUGGGGAAUUUUUGGACAAUGGGCGCAAGCCUGAUCCAGCAAUGCCGCGUGCAGGAUGAAGGCC